UAACCUCCGGAAACGGAAGCUAAUACCGGAUAUGACGUACGGAGGCAUCUCCUGUACGUGGAAAGAACUUCGGUCAAGGAUGGACUCGCGGCCUAUCAGGUAGUUGGUGAGGUAACGGCUCACCAAGCCUACGACGGGUAGCCGGCCUGAGAGGGUGACCGGCCACACUGGGACUGAGACACGGCCCAGACUCCUACGGGAGGCAGCAGUGGGGAAUAUUGCACAAUGGGCGCAAGCCUGAUGCAGCAACGCCGCGUGAGGGAUGACGGCCUUCGGGUUGUAAACCUCUUUUAGUAGGGAAGAAGCGAAAGUGACGGUACCUGCAGAAAAAGCACCGGCUAACUACGUGCCAGCAGCCGCGGUAAUACGUAGGGUGCGAGCGUUGUCCGGAAUUAUUGGGCGUAAAGAGCUCGUAGGCGGUCUGUCGCGUCUGCUGUGAAAACCCGAGGCUCAACCUCGGGCCUGCAGUGGGUACGGGCAGACUAGAGUGCGGUAGGGGAGAAUGGAAUUCCUGGUGUAGCGGUGGAAUGCGCAGAUAUCAGGAGGAACACCGAUGGCGAAGGCAGUUCUCUGGGCCGUAACUGACGCUGAGGAGCGAAAGCGUGGGGAGCGAACAGGAUUAGAUACCCUGGUAGUCCACGCCGUAAACGUUGGGCGCUAGAUGUGGGGACCAUUCCACGGUUUCCGUGUCGCAGCUAACGCAUUAAGCGCCCCGCCUGGGGAGUACGGCCGCAAG
RNAcentral lists this ribosomal RNA (736 nucleotides) under Leifsonia sp. RNAcentral describes it as "bacterial SSU rRNA". It matches the Rfam family "Bacterial small subunit ribosomal RNA", at positions 144 to 892 of the family's 1533-position model. Lineage: Bacteria; Bacillati; Actinomycetota; Actinomycetes; Micrococcales; Microbacteriaceae. The record is from RNAcentral.